This 4150-nucleotide unclassified non-coding RNA is filed under the name Nilaparvata lugens (brown planthopper). RNAcentral's name for it is "uncharacterized LOC120355804, transcript variant X11". The record is from RNAcentral. Lineage: Eukaryota; Metazoa; Arthropoda; Insecta; Hemiptera; Delphacidae.
UUUAAACCAUUUAUUCAUUAAUGCUCAUGUUUUCCUAGUUUUAUCCCAACCUAGCAAAUAAUAACAGUUUAGUUUGUUGAAACAUCAACUUGAUAAAUAGCCUACUUCUAAUGAUAAAUCUAUAAUAUAAUAAAGGAAGGAAUCGGCUUAUACAUGUUGGGGAUAGGAAAUACACAAACGACGCAUCAUCACGUCUCAACUACUCAACUGAUUAACUUGAAAUGUUGCUUAUAGAUUCUUUAUCUACUGAGGAUGGUUAUAGGCCUUUUUUAAAUCGUUCAAGAUCUCAGUAGGUAGAUUUUGUAAAGUUUUCAGUUGCCAGGGUUCACGGGUUACACCUGCUAAUGGACAAUUAUUUGCUCUUCAAAUAUGAGUGCUCUACAGUAAGAUUGUAAACUUUAAUUAUAUGUGUCUGUUUUUGCAGUGACUCAAUGUGGAUUGUGAAGACACAGAAGGGGACGCAUUUGGAUCUUGAAUCAUGAAUGUUGAAUCUUGAUGCUCACAGAAAAGGAAGUCAACCAGACAGGCUCUGAAAAUUGAUGAAAUGGAACAAAUUAUUUGGACAAGACACUAGAAAAAUUCUACUCGGUCGGUUUUGAAAUCAUACCUCAAGAAACUUGCGAGAUCUUCGUCUGCACUGCACUAGCAUUUCAGUUGGGGCAAACUGAGCCGCUUCGGCGAGCGGGCCAAUAAUUUCAACAUUGUUUCAAUUCCAAGUUGAUUGUUUUGAAUUAAUAUAGUCUACUGUUACAGAGAGACUAUGCCUUUUGAAAAUAUAAACGGUUACCUGAUAAGUACCUUAAUUUGUGUUAUGAAAUAUGAUUGAUAUCCAACUAUUUAAUAAAUUUCUCAAUUUGAAAGAUUCAAAUAAUGAUAUUAUUUCGAUUAUUUACUUGCUCACCAAGUGCAGUUUUCUCGGUGAAAGCUUAAACCGAAUUGGAUCAGCUGGUGUGUUUUAAUAUCAAUUAAACUUAACAUGGAUUUAAUUCAUAUUAAGCCGACAUUUGGUUCAAACUGGUACUGUGAAAACGGCUUUUAAAUCGUUAGAAUUAUUCAAGUAAUUAGUAUGGUGAUUAUUAUCAUAGAAAAAAGAUAUCAUAAGAAGAUAACCCUAUGGUAUAGAUUGUUUAUGUUUCAUCGUGCGUUUUAAAACAGUAAAGAAAAAAGUAUCUCAGGUUUGGCUGAAAUUUGCACCAUAGAUGAAGCUUUAUCUGAGAAAUGUCUGAGCCAAAUUUGGCACCCCCAGCUACUAUACAGGGUGAGUUAUGCAGCUUCAAACGUAAAAUUUGCAAAUUUUCAAACGGUGAGGAAUUUUGCAAAUCGGAUUCCAGAUUCAUGUUCCUCUCAUCAAAGAGCAUAAGGUCACGAAGUUAGAGCGAUUUUGAUUUUUCACAAAAAAAUUAGAUAAACCAUGGAUUUUAUGAAAAAUGCGAAUGUGCCAGAUUCGGUUGAUAUUCGAACUAUGGAAAGAGGUUGACUCAAUAGUGAUAGAUAAAUGUCUUUUAUUUUCAUUUUAUAACAUUACAAAUGAUGUGGGCGAAGUUGAGGCAAUAAGAGCCCCCCUCUUCCACUUGACCCACAAGUAUGGGUCUGUUUGUGUAAAUGGCAGAAGAUAAGAAAAGAUUCAUUGAACAAUUGACAAAUUUACUUGAUAGAAUACUUGACAAUUAUAUAGUCUAAAAUAAGAACUUAGUCAAAAAUAACAGAUUAACAAAUAACAACUCUAAAGUCAUUUUUCACCAAGUUACCAAGAGGGAUUAUUAACUAUGGAAUGAGAAAGAAAUCAAUAAAAAUGCUUACUUUCUUAAUCAGAUUCAGUAUAGUUUUUAGUAUAAAAGAUUUUUUUUUUCAAAGAGCAAAGAAUAAAGAGUUAACCUGAUUUCAAAAACUCAGUCCAAGUAAACUGAAGAUCAGUAGUAAAUUAUACAAGAAAAUUUACAAUAAUCAAAAAUAUAAUAGCUGUAAAUUCUGCUCAAAAUAAGAUCUAGUUGCACGAAAUUUGUUUAAUAACUGAUUAAAUAAUUAGAUUUUUCUGUAUUAGCUGUUAUGCUACUAUAGCGGUGACUGAGGACUCUAUAGAUUUGUUUCUUCAAGUAUUUCAGAAGAAGUUGCUGUUGUGGGCUGUACAGCUCGCUUUCCUGAUAGAUUUUCCUUUGAGAAUCUGAUCUGUUUCAUUUUCAUGAUGGCCUAUGGGCUAUGUGAGAUAAUGGGAUGAUGUUCCAGUAAUUUAACCAUAACCAUUGAACGGUUCAUCAGAGCCUUAUUUUGUAGCAAACGUUGUUGUAUAAUAUAACAUUUUUCUUAUCAUCAUAUACCGUAGUUGAAAAUUUUGUCACUGCAAUUAAUAAAAUCAAACUGAGAGAUUUAAUGCUUCAAAAAAAAGCAGGACCGCAUCUCUAGUAGAAUUUUCCCUAGUUUUUAUAUCUCUAACUUUUGUUAGCUUCAUAGUAGCUUUGUACGCAUGAGGACCUUUUUUUGUAUAAUAUCAAAUUGACUGUUGAGUAACAAGUUCUAAUUACUAACUAAAGUCAAGAGUAAAGAGCUAUUUUAUAGCUUCAAAGAAAAAUUUGAAUCAUAUUCUCAAUGUAGCCUAUUCCUUAGCAAUGUUACCUCAAUAACUUACUUUUGAAAGACUUCUUGUUGAAUAUUUUAGAAAUAUUUCAAGCCAGAACAAGUGAAUAACUUUUCUCCAUUUAUUUCGAUUUUCAAUAUAAUAAUUAUAUACCGUAGUUAGUAGGUAGCUUUUGAAUUUGCCGGUUGAUAACCUAGUUUGAAUUUGCCGGUGAGCCAUCUUGAUAAUGAUGUUUCAAAACCUUUUGAAUAAUGAAGAAUGAAGAGUGAAUCUUUUUAUGAAUCAUUCUUUCAAACGUAAUCAAGACAUCAAUCUAUAGUUAUAAAAUUCCUUAUCUAUAAAAAAUCAUUUGAGAACCAUUGAAUGUCGAUAUUUUCUCCAAAUGCAUCAAUCAGAAGUACUUAUAUAUAUUCCCAACUUUUCAAUGAAUAAUGGUAUAAAUCAACUAGAGAAUAUAUUUGAAACUUUUAAAAUCAUCAUUUGAAUAUCAUAAUUCUAUUUUGAUGAUAGAUAUACUUAAUUAUUUUCUAUUAUUUUUUUGCGUUGUGUAGUGGUACGGCUGGCUACCUGCUGUUCAAGCUAAUCAGCUGUUUGAUGCUCAUUAUUUUUUCAACUAUGAAUUGCGUUAAUAGUGCUUCCAAUAAACAGGAUAAUUUGAUACAUCAGAGAAAUAAUUUAAAUAUUCUAUUUGAACGUAUCAAUUGUUAAUACUUAAUUAUUUUUUCAUUAUUAUUUUGCGGUGUGUAGUGGUACAGCUGGUUACCAAAAUCCGUCUCCAUCGAGUUGCUUGGUAUGGAUUGUAAGACACAGAAGAAGACGCAUUUAGAUGUUUUUGGAUCUUGUAUCUUGAUGCUCACAGAAAAGCAAGUCAACCAGACAGGCUCUGAAAAUUGAUGAAAUGGAACAAAUUAUUUGGACAAGACACUAGAAAAAUUCUACUCGGUCGGUUUUGAAAUCAUACCUCAAGAAACUUGCGAGAUCUUCGGCUGCACUGCACUAGCAUUUCAGGGUUUGUUGGAGGCGAACGACAUCCACAACAAUGGGAUAGCGGGGUUCGGGCGCCAACCCGACAGUGACAGUGGUGCACUGCGAGAUCCACCACGGACAGAUGGGUGGCUUGUACGGGCUCGGCCAGUUCAUCGACAACCGCAUCCAUUCCCACAGCAACCCCACCGCAACGAGAUCUACAACGGCCAUCAGGGUGGCGUCUUCAUCUUGGGCGAAGGCCGCGGCUUGAUCGAGCAUAACAAUAUCUAUGGUGAGUGAAUUGCAAACAUCACUAUGUUAUGCCUAGUCCUCAGUCGCUGGCCCGCGUUGGUCUUGCCAUCUACACUGCAAUGUGGCCAGUGCCCAAUCAAGGCCAGCGUCAAACAAUACAUGCACAAUGGAAACUCGGCUAGAAUCGUGACGUCAAAAUCCGCCAUCUUGAAAGAAAGCCAAUCUAGCCAGUGCCGCCCAGAGUGGCAAUGAUUUAGCCAGUUCUUCUGUCCUAUUACAUCAGCUGUUCAACUUUGUCGCCUUGACAAAAUGUAGCUUGUAUCAGAAUUUAUAAGAGUUUUUCCAAUCACUUAAUAAAUC